Molecule: transfer RNA, 87 nt
Filed under: Flavobacteriaceae bacterium
Lineage: Bacteria; Pseudomonadati; Bacteroidota; Flavobacteriia; Flavobacteriales; Flavobacteriaceae
Description: tRNA-Ser
Rfam family: tRNA
About the family: Transfer RNA (tRNA) molecules are approximately 80 nucleotides in length. Their secondary structure includes four short double-helical elements and three loops (D, anti-codon, and T loops).
Source: RNAcentral
AGAAAGGUGCUAGAGCGGCCGAAUAGGCUACCUUGGAAAGGUAGUGUACUUGCAAGAGUACCGUGGGUUCGAAUCCCAUCCUUUCUA